Oncorhynchus tshawytscha (Chinook salmon) is the source of this 1295-nucleotide long non-coding RNA. The record is from Ensembl. NCBI's taxonomy places the organism in Eukaryota, Metazoa, Chordata, Actinopteri, Salmoniformes, Salmonidae.
GAACAGACGCCGUAGUGUAGCAGGCAGCAGGCAGUCAGUUGAUCAGUAACGGAAAGCGGCACAGAUAAUAUCGGUUUGUCUCACGCGUGCCUGCUGUUAAACACUUGACGUAAUUCUCUCUUCUCUGCUCUAAUCUGGAGAGAGGGAGAGAAAGAGAGAAGAGGACAGAGAAUGAGAGAGAGAGAGAGAGGGCAAAACUGAGGAAUGGUGAAUUAGAGGAAUUGACGGAGGAGUAGAGACGUUUAUUCCGGCUGGUUACCUCUGUUCUAGUGACGAGAGAGAGCCGACAGCCCGAUAUACAGGCGGAUUUACCUUCCUCCAACACGGCUCCAGACCAGUGGCUCACCUUCGCUCAACCUGCCCGCCCAGCAGCGCCCUCAUCCCGGCUAGAGGUCCAGGAGCUGUCCUGAAAACGUCGCCUCCCCCCGUGUGUCCUGCGUUGUGAUUGGUGUAGAGAGAGUUCCACUAUGUCAGGCUGACCUUCCUGACCCUCUGUGACCCUCACCAUGGUGACAUGACAGACCUUAGUGUUCCCCACCACAUCCAUGUUAGAAACCCUUCAUAGAGACACACACAUACACACCCUGACACACAUACACCUUGACAUACACACACACACACCCUGACACACAUACACCCUGACAUACACACACACACACCCUGACACACACACACACCCUGACACACACACACAUUGACACACACACACCCUGACACACACACACCUUGACACACACACACCUUGACACACACACACCCUGACACAGACAGACCCUGACACACACACACACACACACACACACCCUGACACACAUACACCUUGACAUACACACACACACACCCUGACACACACACACCUUGACAUACACACACACACACACACACACACACACACACACACACACACACACACACACACACACACACACACACACACCUUGACACACACACACACCCAUCGACACACACACCCUGACAUACACAUGUAUACAUCGCGACCCUCCAGGUAGUGAUGUCGUUAGCGGUGCAUGUCCGUCGCCACCUGCGGCGCUUCCUCCUCCUCCUCGCCUCUGGCUCCCUGCUAGGCUCCGCCUACUUCCUAUUCUCUCACUCCGCCCCCACUCUACAGCUCAACCAAUCAGGAGAGCACGUUGCUGUGGCGUGCCCCCUGCCCUUUCCAACUCCCUACAGAUCCCCCAACACACACACCGACAGACGAUCCGACCGGGACACACACACCGACAGACGAUCCGACCGGGACACACACACCGACAGACGUUCCGACCGACAGACGA